UACAGAGGUCUCAAGCGUUGUUCGGAUUCAUUGGGCGUAAAGGGUGCGUAGGCGGCGCGGUAAGUCGGGUGUGAAAUCUCGGAGCUUAACUCCGAAACUGCAUUCGAUACUGCCGUGCUUGAGGACUGGAGAGGGGACUGGAAUUUACGGUGUAGCGGUGAAAUGCGUAGAGAUCAUGAGGAAGACCAGUGGCGAAGGCGGGUCUCUGGACAGUUCCUGACACUGAGGCACGAAGGCCAGGGGAGCAAACGGG
Molecule: ribosomal RNA, 253 nt
Filed under: uncultured bacterium
Lineage: Bacteria
Description: partial 16S ribosomal RNA
Rfam family: Bacterial small subunit ribosomal RNA
Source: RNAcentral